AUUGAACGCUGGCGGCAGGCUUAACACAUGCAAGUCGAGCGGAGAUGAGGUGCCUGCACCUUAUCUUAGCGGCGGACGGGUGAGUAAUGCUUAGGAAUCUGCCUAUUAGUGGGGGACAACAUUCCGAAAGGAAUGCUAAUACCGCAUACGUCCUACGGGAGAAAGCAGAGGAUCUUCGGACCUUGCGCUAAUAGAUGAGCCUAAGUCGGAUUAGCUAGUUGGUGGGGUAAAGGCCUACCAAGGCGACGAUCUGUAGCGGGUCUGAGAGGAUGAUCCGCCACACUGGGACUGAGACACGGCCCAGACUCCUACGGGAGGCAGCAGUGGGGAAUAUUGGACAAUGGGGGAAACCCUGAUCCAGCCAUGCCGCGUGUGUGAAGAAGGCCUUAUGGUUGUAAAGCACUUUAAGCGAGGAGGAGGCUACUGAGACUAAUACUCUUGGAUAGUGGACGUUACUCGCAGAAUAAGCACCGGCUAACUCUGUGCCAGCCGCCGCCGUAA
This 501-nucleotide ribosomal RNA is filed under the name uncultured bacterium. RNAcentral describes it as "partial 16S ribosomal RNA". It matches the Rfam family "Bacterial small subunit ribosomal RNA", at positions 30 to 523 of the family's 1533-position model. The record is from RNAcentral.